This 400-nucleotide ribosomal RNA is filed under the name phytoplankton environmental sample. Its description in RNAcentral is "partial small subunit ribosomal RNA". It matches the Rfam family "Eukaryotic small subunit ribosomal RNA", at positions 587 to 989 of the family's 1831-position model. The record is from RNAcentral.
AGCUUCAAUAGCGUAUGUUAAAGUUGUUGCGGUUAAAAAGCUCGUAGUUGGAUCUGCGGCCUAGGAGAGCGGUCUCCCAAUGGGUUGUUACUGCUUUUCCUGGCCUAUACCUCCGAUUAACCUUAGAUGCGCUUCAUUGUUGUGUCUAAGGCGAUCGGAAAAUUUACUUUGAAAAAAUUAGAGUGCUCAAAGCAGGCAGAUAGCCUGAAUAGUGGUGCAUGGAAUAAUGGAAUAGGACCUCGGUUCUAUUUUGUUGGUUUUCGGAGCUCGAGGUAAUGAUUAAGACGGACAGACGGGGGCAUUCGUAUUGUGGCGUUAGAGGUGAAAUUCUUGGAUCGCCGCAAGACGAACUACUGCGAAAGCAUUUGCCAAGAAUGUUUUGUUUAAUCAAGAACGAAAG